UACGUAGGGUGCAAGCGUUACUCGGAAUUACUGGGCGUAAAGCGUGCGCAGGCGGUGAUGUAAGACAGAUGUGAAAUCCCCGGGCUCAACUUGGGAAUGGCAUUUGGGACUGCAAGGCUUGAGUGCGGCAGAGGAGACUGGAAUUCCUGGUGUAGCAGUGAAAUGCGUAGAUAUCAGGAGGAAUACCGAUGGCGAAGGCAGGUCUCUGGGCUGACACUGACGCUCAUGCACGAAAGCGUGGGGAGCAAACAGG
RNAcentral lists this ribosomal RNA (253 nucleotides) under uncultured bacterium. Its description in RNAcentral is "partial 16S ribosomal RNA". It matches the Rfam family "Bacterial small subunit ribosomal RNA", at positions 524 to 776 of the family's 1533-position model. The record is from RNAcentral.